CGUCGACCCUCACCCAAGAGAAAAUAAAGGAGUUUUCACUCCCUUUCCAAGCAAGCUAAAGCCAACCCUCUCUUCUUCUCCUCUCUUUUGUUCUUCAAGAAACCAACUCCUCUCACCAUCUUCAAACUUAUGACUCCGUAGCAAGUGAUAUUGUGUUGCUCUUCAUCCACACGGUCGUCCCUCUAUUUAGUCAUCCACUUGUGUUUUGGAAGGGGCUAAGAGCUUAAGGUAAUGAUGAAAAGGCUGGGUAGCAAGGCAUUACUGCAGAGAUAGAGGCAGACGCUUAGGACCUUCCCUAACUAGAACAGUUAUGUUACGGAUGAUGGGUUAUGUGUCUGUAUAGACUUUUUAUGUUGGGAUGGACUCUGAG
Molecule: long non-coding RNA, 370 nt
Organism: Juglans regia (Persian walnut)
Lineage: Eukaryota; Viridiplantae; Streptophyta; Magnoliopsida; Fagales; Juglandaceae
Exons: 3
Source: RefSeq, a predicted model, not a curated record